UCUGAACUUCACCAUUCUUCUUCAUAUCGUGUUUGGCUGCAUUUGUGUUAAGCCCUUACAAGUUGCAAAUACAAAACAGGAAUAGGAUAACCAAAUGCCAAUAUUGCAAAUGUAUUUCUAACAGAUCAAUUUUGCAAAUCAGCACACAGUGAGUAGGAUAAAACUAUCAUUACAUGCCAACUAUAUCUAAGAAAAAAAAUUAACAGAUAAAUGGUAUAUACCAAUAUGGUAACUUGUUUAUGGCACAUAGGUGAAUAAGAAUAACCAUUCCAGAGAAAUACUAGUUUCUUUAGAACAAAAACAGGGCCUUUAUUGGAUUUGAUUUAAAACUCUGGACUCAAGAAAAACCAACUGAUAAGAUUAGACAGUUUCUAGAAAGUAGGGACUUCAGCUCCCUUUGUGCAACACAGUAUCCAUACUGCCAAUGAAAAGAAAAAAAAAAUACACAAUAACAAGUUAUAGCAGCACUAAAGCCUACAGCACAUGCAAUGAGCAUGCAGAACAUGUUAACAAAAAAAAAAAGGUAGGAAGAUGUGACAAUACUUGACUAGGGGUAUGCAAUUAGUCUGUUCGGUUCUGAACUGAACAAUCGAAAAGCAUAUUUUUAUGAAUUGAACUGAACCGAACCAAACUAAUAGUAAAACCAAAUUGAACCGAACCAAUAAAAUUGGUUCAGUUUGGUUCAAUCAGUUCCAGAACACUUCCUGUCCAAGAUGACAAAGCCACACCCCCCUCCCAAAUCACCAACAAAAAAUCCUCAAACUAAGAGAUUAACACAACACAAAAUCACCAAUAAACUAAAAUACAAUAAUCAACAAGAUCAACAACAAUAAUCAACAUUUCAAUUAAAAAAAUAACAAUAAUCAACAACAAUCGAAAACUAAAAAGAAUCCGAGUAGUGAGGCACAGUAGCAAGCUAGGAGCGAGGCACAGCAACGAGCAAGAGGACCGAGGCACAGCAAACCAAGAGAAUUGAAAACUGAAGAGAGCAGAUGAGGCAUCGAGUGGCUGAGAGCAGAGAAUCUGAGCACACCCAAAAAAUUGAGGAGCUGCCAAGAGCAGAGAAUCUGAAAGGGAAAGGCAGAGACGACAAUGAUAAGUUGCGAAGGGGAUGUGAUGGGAUUGUGAGGGAGGGGAGGGGAUGCAACUGGAAAAGGCGUAAUGCUAGGAUGCGACUUGCGACUCGAAAGUUGCGAGGGAAGGGAUGGGAUGCAUGCGAGGUGACAGAGGCACGAGCCAUAAAGGGGACUGGGUCAGGGUGGGAAUCGGGAUGCAGUGUAGAUGACUGAGAAUCUGAGAUGAGUUGCUUGAGAUUGAGAAAGUUUAGGAUGGAAGACAUGAGAAUGAGUCAGGAAGGAGAAGGUUUCUUAAAGAAACCUGGGCUGGGCUUUGAAAAUGGACAGAGACAGGAGGCCUAGGCUUAUCUCAGGUUUAAUUAAAAUGGCCCCAUUUCAGUCACUUUCGU
This 1465-nucleotide unclassified non-coding RNA is filed under the name Hevea brasiliensis (rubber tree). Lineage: Eukaryota; Viridiplantae; Streptophyta; Magnoliopsida; Malpighiales; Euphorbiaceae. The record is from RNAcentral.